GACGAAUGCUGGCUGCGUGUUUAACACAUGCAAGUCGAACGGUGAACAGGGGCUUGCCCCUGGGAUCAGUGGCGAACGGGUGAGUAACACGUGGGCAACCUGCCCCUCACUCUGGGAUAACUCCGGGAAACCGGGGCUAAUACCGGAUACGACCUGGUGCGACAUCGCACCGGGUGGAAAGAACUUCGGUGAGGGAUGGGCCCGCGGCCUAUCAGCUUGUUGGUGGGGUAACGGCCCACGAAGGCGACGCCGGGUAGCCGGCCUGCGAGGGCGACCAGCAACACUGGGACUGAGACCCGGCCCAGAGUCCGACGGGAGGCAGCAGUGGGGAAUAUUGCGCAAUGGGCGAAAGCCUGACGCAGCGACGCAGCGUGAGGGACGAAGGCCUUCGUGUUGUAAACCUCUUUCAGCGGGGACGAAGCGCAAGUGACGGUACCCGCAGAAGAAGCACCGGCUAACUACGUGCCAGCCGCCGCAGUAA
RNAcentral lists this ribosomal RNA (481 nucleotides) under uncultured bacterium. RNAcentral's name for it is "partial 16S ribosomal RNA". It matches the Rfam family "Bacterial small subunit ribosomal RNA", at positions 28 to 523 of the family's 1533-position model. The record is from RNAcentral.